UACGUAGGGUGCAAGCGUUGUCCGGAAUUAUUGGGCGUAAAGAGCUCGUAGGCGGUUUGUCGCGUCGAAUGUGAAAACCCGGGGCUCAACCCCGGGCCUGCAUUCGAUACGGGCAGACUAGAGUUCGGUAGGGGAGUCUGGAAUUCCUGGUGUAGCGGUGAAAUGCGCAGAUAUCAGGAGGAACACCGGUGGCGAAGGCGGGACUCUGGGCCGGUACUGACGCUGAGGCGCGAAAGCGUGGGGAGCAAACAGG
Molecule: ribosomal RNA, 253 nt
Filed under: uncultured bacterium
Lineage: Bacteria
Description: partial 16S ribosomal RNA
Rfam family: Bacterial small subunit ribosomal RNA
Source: RNAcentral